Molecule: long non-coding RNA, 440 nt
Organism: Saccostrea cuccullata (small rock oyster)
Lineage: Eukaryota; Metazoa; Mollusca; Bivalvia; Ostreida; Ostreidae
Exons: 3
Source: RefSeq, a predicted model, not a curated record
UUGAGGGGUCACUCACUUCUGAACGAAAAUUAGGGACAUCGCUAUGAGAAGAAACGUUAACAUUGUCGCCUAUGGGAAAACAAUUAGUGGACUGUACCCAUAUUGGGAAGCCUAUAAGUUCAUGGUGAUUGGUACAGGAAAACCAUGAGGUUCAUGCAGAUGGUGUUUAAAACUAUUGGCCAGCAAAUGCGAAUACAUCUUGAAACAUCACCAGCAAAAUGUGACAGUCGGCAAAAUGUAGGUUCCCGCAGACAGACGCAUUUUGCCGGAAAACGAAUCUGACAUGCCACCUCGAGAUUUUAACCAAGGAAAGACAAGUCGAUGUGCUUUGAUUUGAGGGGUCACUCACUUCUGAACGAAAAUUAGGGACAUCGCUAUGAGAAGAAACGUUAACAUUGUCGCCUAUGGGAAAACAAUUAGUGGACUGUACCCAGCUGUGU